Astatotilapia calliptera (eastern happy) is the source of this 56-nucleotide microRNA precursor. NCBI's taxonomy places the organism in Eukaryota, Metazoa, Chordata, Actinopteri, Cichliformes, Cichlidae. The record is from Ensembl.
CCCUCUAAAGCCCUGCAGCUCAGGGUCCUUUCCCAACUGCAGGGCAUUGGACGAGC